Molecule: long non-coding RNA, 762 nt
Organism: Hippopotamus amphibius kiboko
Lineage: Eukaryota; Metazoa; Chordata; Mammalia; Artiodactyla; Hippopotamidae
Exons: 5
Source: RefSeq, a predicted model, not a curated record
AUGUGCUUCUUAGAGGACCUAGACUAACUCAAGAAACUUCCAUAGUUAUAAUCAAUACCGGCAGAAUAUGAUCAAGCUUCUUUGCAAGCUUUGAAGAGAGAGAUGCAACAGUUAAGAAAAUCAGGAAAUUGCUUCUUGGCAGGCGUGGAUGUGAAUUGGGCUUUGUAACUGGGUUUGCCUGUGGUGUUGGGGGGAGGCGUGUGGGAGGAGAAGGAAGAGGAGUGGGAAAGGGAGUCCUCUCCAGGGACGUCUCCUCUCAUCCCUGCACCACAGUGGAACGGGGUCUAUAGCUGUGGACCUUGGCUGGAGGCAGACAGGAGCCUGUGAAAAUCCCCAGGAUGAAGUUCUCUUGUUCAGACUGUAUGUGCGGGAAGCCAAAGGAAGCCAUCUGGGAAGAGACAUCCAUGAUGCACUGAGUCUCCUUAGCGCCCUCAAAGAGCACCUGGGUGUGGCUGAGGCCCUGAGUGCCACACUGUGAUGUUUCUCGACAGAUUGCCUUACACGCAUCCCGGUUACCUCUGAUCUGGUUUUCUCCACCACAUCAGCAUCCCUACGCAGGUUGUGAAGUCAGCUGCCCCCCAGUGAACAGGGUUGGAGAUACCAGUCUAGAUUGGGAUGAUCUGGUAGAGAGAGAGAAGAAAGAAGUAGCUGACUCAGGAGAAAGUGGAAUGGAAUUGCAACAAUUUGAGGUUAUUGAAAAAUGCAUAUUUCCCCCUUUAAUUUAGUGAUUGCCACCUAUGUACUUGUAAAUAAAAGUAUUGC